ACGGCGAUCCACAUCGAGUUGGCUUUUUUUGGGCGUUUUUAGACGAAUUCAGCCAAAUGUGCCCUGUUCCUACGAGGAAACACACUUAGGGCCCUCGGUGGGCCAAAAAAUGUAGAAAACCGAAACUCACCGGCGGUAGGACUCUCCGGUCCGCCGGCUCUUCCGGCUCACGUUGUGAUUGGGUAUUUUGCUUCUGUUAACCUGUAGAGAAGGAAACGGUGGUCACAACGGUGAAAAAAUCAAAUCGAAUGGGAAUCGGAAAGGGCCUCAUCGGAGGCAUUUUCUG
RNAcentral lists this long non-coding RNA (286 nucleotides) under Carica papaya (papaya). RNAcentral's name for it is "long non-coding RNA (CPAP_LNC004035)". Lineage: Eukaryota; Viridiplantae; Streptophyta; Magnoliopsida; Brassicales; Caricaceae. The record is from RNAcentral.